GUCCAGCUGACGAGUCCCAAAUGGGACGAAACGCGUGUCCUGGAU
Molecule: non-coding RNA, 45 nt
Filed under: Schistosoma margrebowiei
Lineage: Eukaryota; Metazoa; Platyhelminthes; Trematoda; Strigeidida; Schistosomatidae
Source: RNAcentral